GACAGAGGGUGCAAACGUUGUUCGGAUUUACUGGGCGUAAAGCGUGUGUAGGCGGCUUGGCAAGUUGGAUGUGAAAGCCCACGGCUCAACCGUGGAAGCGCACCCAAAACUGCUUCGCUCGAGUCUCGGAGAGGAAGGUGGAAUGCUUGGUGUAGAGGUGAAAUUCGUAGAUAUCGGGUGGAACACCUGUGGCGAAGGCGGCCAUCUGGACGUCAACUGACGCUGAGACGCGAAAGCAUGGGGAGCAAACAGG
This 253-nucleotide ribosomal RNA is filed under the name uncultured bacterium. Its description in RNAcentral is "partial 16S ribosomal RNA". It matches the Rfam family "Bacterial small subunit ribosomal RNA", at positions 524 to 776 of the family's 1533-position model. The record is from RNAcentral.